RNAcentral lists this ribosomal RNA (764 nucleotides) under Streptomyces sp. Sp080513M2-08. RNAcentral's name for it is "bacterial SSU rRNA". It matches the Rfam family "Bacterial small subunit ribosomal RNA", at positions 51 to 830 of the family's 1533-position model. The record is from RNAcentral. Lineage: Bacteria; Bacillati; Actinomycetota; Actinomycetes; Kitasatosporales; Streptomycetaceae.
ACACAUGCAAGUCGAACGAUGAACCGCUUUCGGGCGGGGAUUAGUGGCGAACGGGUGAGUAACACGUGGGCAAUCUGCCCUGCACUCUGGGACAAGCCCUGGAAACGGGGUCUAAUACCGGAUAUGACCGUCUGCCGCAUGGUGGAUGGUGUAAAGCUCCGGCGGUGCAGGAUGAGCCCGCGGCCUAUCAGCUUGUUGGUGAGGUAGUGGCUCACCAAGGCGACGACGGGUAGCCGGCCUGAGAGGGCGACCGGCCACACUGGGACUGAGACACGGCCCAGACUCCUACGGGAGGCAGCAGUGGGGAAUAUUGCACAAUGGGCGAAAGCCUGAUGCAGCGACGCCGCGUGAGGGAUGACGGCCUUCGGGUUGUAAACCUCUUUCAGCAGGGAAGAAGCGAAAGUGACGGUACCUGCAGAAGAAGCGCCGGCUAACUACGUGCCAGCAGCCGCGGUAAUACGUAGGGCGCAAGCGUUGUCCGGAAUUAUUGGGCGUAAAGAGCUCGUAGGCGGCUUGUCACGUCGGUUGUGAAAGCCCGGGGCUUAACCCCGGGUCUGCAGUCGAUACGGGCAGGCUAGAGUUCGGUAGGGGAGAUCGGAAUUCCUGGUGUAGCGGUGAAAUGCGCAGAUAUCAGGAGGAACACCGGUGGCGAAGGCGGAUCUCUGGGCCGAUACUGACGCUGAGGAGCGAAAGCGUGGGGAGCGAACAGGAUUAGAUACCCUGGUAGUCCACGCCGUANACGGUGGGCACUAGGUGUGGGCAAC